GCAACUUUGUGGUAGCAUUUUGAGUGCAACAUAGACUGGCCCCUGUAUGCAGUACUUGUUAGUUCUAUCAAUGGUAAAGCGAGCAAUAUAUAUCCGGACAUGAAUUAUCUUAUGGUUUAUUCAAAGAUUGGAGACUGUUUCAUGUAAAUAGAUGAUUCUGAUUGGCAAAAAAAAAAAAGAUGAUUCUGCUAUCUGAAAUGUGUUCUUGACUGUUUUCAGAAAACAUCUCUGGAUGAUCUUAUACGCAGCCAUGUACUAUAUGAACUUAGGGCGUAGGUUUAGUCUGAACCUCCUCUGUUUUUCCCGUGUCAAGCAGCUUGCUUAUGCACUUUACACGACCUAACAACGACUUGCAUUUUAUAUGCCAAGGGUGGCUACCUAAACCAUCAAGAUGUUCCCUUCAGUCGGCUGCCUUUCCAACCUCUUGUCGGCAAAACUAAAAUAAACAUCUCAUAUAUUUCCUCCUUUUUUUCCUGCAGGGCC
RNAcentral lists this long non-coding RNA (483 nucleotides) under Hordeum vulgare. RNAcentral's name for it is "long non-coding RNA (HVUL_LNC017807)". Lineage: Eukaryota; Viridiplantae; Streptophyta; Magnoliopsida; Poales; Poaceae. The record is from RNAcentral.